GAGAAUCCACGGUUGGCUCAAAAGCUUCAUGACGUGUUACUUGAAAGUGGUGUGGUUGCUCCCCCUAACUUGUUUACUGAGGCAUACCCUGACCAAAUAGAUGUUAUUGUUGAGUCUAAGUCACCAACGGAAGACAAGGAUCAAAGUAGAAAGGUGCCUGGUCUCUGUGAAAGUGUAGAUAAGAAUGAUCCUCGUCCAGCUAACUUUUUGCCUCCCUUGCCUCAGCCCAGAAUGCAUUCUAGAGCCAGCCCUACCCAUGGCCAACAACUGCACCUUAAACCUCUGGAAUUUAACCUUUCUCUCGAUCCAAGAGAAGCAGCCGGACAACCUAUAGCCUUACCUUUUGAGGUAACACCAGUGAAGUAUGGG
RNAcentral lists this unclassified non-coding RNA (369 nucleotides) under Hevea brasiliensis (rubber tree). The record is from RNAcentral. Lineage: Eukaryota; Viridiplantae; Streptophyta; Magnoliopsida; Malpighiales; Euphorbiaceae.